Molecule: ribosomal RNA, 1134 nt
Filed under: uncultured organism
Description: bacterial SSU rRNA
Rfam family: Bacterial small subunit ribosomal RNA
Source: RNAcentral
AUGGUCCCCCACACUGGUACUGAGACACGGACCAGAACUCCUACGGGAGGCAGCAGUGAGGAAUAUUGGUCAAUGGGCGAAAGCCUUGAACCAGCCAUGCCGCGUGAAGGAUGACGGCACUAUGUGUUGUAAACUUCUGUUAUACGGGAAGAAACCCCCGAACGUGUUCGGGGUUGACGGUACCGUACGAAUAAGCAUCGGCUAACUCCGUGCCAGCAGCCGCGGUAAUACGGAGGAUGCAAGCGUUAUCCGGAUUUAUUGGGUUUAAAGGGUGCGUAGGCGGAAAUUUAAGUCAGUGGUGAAAUCCUGCGGCUCAACCGUAGAACUGUCAUUGAUACUGAAUUUCUUGAAUACAGUUGAGGUUGGCGGAAUGUGUAAUGUAGCGGUGAAAUGCUUAGAUAUUACACAGAACACCGAUUGCGAAGGCAGCUAACUAAACUGAUAUUGACGCUGAGGCACGAAAGCGUGGGGAGCGAACAGGAUUAGAUACCCUGGUAGUCCACGCCGUAAACGAUGAUCACUCGUUGUUGGCAAUACAUCGUCAGCGACUAAGCGAAAGCAUUAAGUGAUCCACCUGGGGAGUACGAUCGCAAGAUUGAAACUCAAAGGAAUUGACGGGGGCCCGCACAAGCGGAGGAACAUGUGGUUUAAUUCGAUGAUACGCGAGGAACCUUACCUGGGCUUAAAUGUAGAACGACGGACCGGGAAACUGGUCUUUCUUCGGACGGUCUGCAAGGUGCUGCAUGGCUGUCGUCAGCUCGUGCCGUGAGGUGUCGGGUUAAGUCCCAUAACGAGCGCAACCCUCAUCAUUAGUUGCCAGCGGGUAAUGCCGGGGACUCUAAUGAAACUGCCGGUGUAAACCGUGAGGAAGGUGGGGAUGACGUCAAGUCAGCACGGCCCUUAUGUCCAGGGCUACACACGUGUUACAAUGGUCAGUACAAAGGGCAGCUACCUGGUGACAGGAUGCUAAUCUCUAAAACUGAUCUAAGUUCGGAUCGAAGUCUGCAACUCGACUUCGUGAAGUUGGAUUCGCUAGUAAUCGCGCAUCAGCCACGGCGCGGUGAGUACGUUCCCGGGCCUUGUACACACCGCCCGUCAAGCCAUGGAAGCCGGGGGUACCUGAAGUUCGUAACC